Molecule: transfer RNA, 83 nt
Filed under: Gigantopelta aegis
Lineage: Eukaryota; Metazoa; Mollusca; Gastropoda; Neomphalida; Peltospiridae
Description: tRNA-Ser
Rfam family: tRNA
About the family: Transfer RNA (tRNA) molecules are approximately 80 nucleotides in length. Their secondary structure includes four short double-helical elements and three loops (D, anti-codon, and T loops). Further hydrogen bonds mediate the characteristic L-shaped molecular structure. tRNAs have two regions of fundamental functional importance: the anti-codon, which is responsible for specific mRNA codon recognition, and the 3' end, to which the tRNAs corresponding amino acid is attached (by aminoacyl-tRNA synthetases). tRNAs cope with the degeneracy of the genetic code in two manners: having more than one tRNA (with a specific anti-codon) for a particular amino acid; and 'wobble' base-pairing, i.e. permitting non-standard base-pairing at the 3rd anti-codon position.
Source: RNAcentral
GCUGUGAUGGCCGAGUGGUUAAGGCGUUGGACUAGAAAAUCCAAUGGGAUCUUCCCGCGUAGGUUCGAACCCUACUCACAGCG